GGCGACCGGUCCCGCGCGCUGCCGAGAGGCUCUGCGCCGCGCGGAAGCUUCUGCCCGCGCUUAGAUAAACAAGCGCAGACCGAGUUCACUGGGCAGCACCCCGCCCCGCGCGCUCGGUCCAAGCUACGGUCUGCGAACUGCGCGUGCGCGCGCUGCUCGCCUCAGGCGAGUGCAACAUCAAUGUGUGCCUCCUUCGCUCAGAAUUUGACGGAGUCAAAGUGGAAGAGGGGCGAGUGGAAUCUCCAGACUUGAAACUGAAGCAGCGAAUAAGAAAAAGAAGUUAAGCGUCCAGUGGGGUAGGGGACCAUGGCGUGAACGCCAGUGUCCGAUACCACCCAGUCUGUUAGCACUCCGGAGAAUUUGGUUUUAUUUUGUGUAAACAUAACGGUGCGAACAGUCGUGGAAGACAAUGAAUGCCUCCAAGCCUCUGCCUGAGGUUGCAUAAACACGAAAAAAAUGAAGCCUGGUUUCAAAGGUCAGGACUGAGGGGUGGCGGCACGCCUAAGGCGCUAGUCCGCUGCGCCCACACGCCACGCAGCCCGUCCACGCCCGAUGACGUCGCGCAGCCCCGCCCACUCCCUCCAGCCCCGCCCGCCAGUGUCCGCCAGAAGGGUUCUUCCCACGCCCGGUCAGCCUGGGGCACGUGGAAAACUUGGAGUGCGGAAUUUCCAGCGGUAGCUGGAAGGCCCGAGGACACCUCAGCAACAGCCUGCUGGAGGCAUCGUGUAGGAAGGUGGAAUUCAAUGUGGCCAAUCAGUUUACGAUUCUGGAACCCAUGGUACCACUCACGACCUAUUAGAGAGAGACAUUUUAUACCACGUGAUGGCUUCUCCUUCAACCAAUCGGGAAAAAAGUUUAGUCAUAGGAUUGGUUUAACCCUUCUCCCAGAACCUCGCCAGGGUGGGCGGGUACUCCUGUGCACUCUAUGCCAACCAAUCACAGGGAAAAACAAAAUAAACAUGAGCUAAGAAAAAACUGACUUUUCCCCCAAAGAUGUAAAUCUCUGUGAUAGUGAAAAUCCAUAACUUCAUAUGGACACGGCCAGGUUCCUUAGUUACAGAGUCC
RNAcentral lists this long non-coding RNA (1065 nucleotides) under Fukomys damarensis (Damara mole-rat). RNAcentral describes it as "lncRNA (ENSFDAG00000022940.1)". Lineage: Eukaryota; Metazoa; Chordata; Mammalia; Rodentia; Bathyergidae. The record is from RNAcentral.